GACGAACGCUGGCGGCGUGCUUAACACAUGCAAGUCGAGCGGUAAGGCCCUUUCGGGGGUACACGAGCGGCGAACGGGUGAGUAACACGUGGGUGACCUGCCCUCAGCUCUGGGAUAAGCCUGGGAAACCGGGUCUAAUACCGGAUAUGACUCCAUGACGCAUGUUGUGGGGUGGAAAGCCUUGUGCGGCUGAGGAUGGGCCCGCGGCCUAUCAGCUUGUUGGUGGGGUGAUGGCCUACCAAGGCGACGACGGGUAGCCGGCCUGAGAGGGCGACCGGCCACACUGGGACUGAGACACGGCCCAGACUCCUACGGGAGGCAGCAGUAAGGAAUAUUGCGCAAUGGGCGAAAGCCUGACGCAGCGACGCCGCGUGGGGAUGAAGGUCUUCGGAUUGUAAACCCCUUUCGGGAGGGAAGAUGGAACGAGCAAUCGUUCGGACGGUACCUCCAGAAGCAGCCAC
This 461-nucleotide ribosomal RNA is filed under the name uncultured bacterium. RNAcentral describes it as "bacterial SSU rRNA". It matches the Rfam family "Bacterial small subunit ribosomal RNA", at positions 28 to 494 of the family's 1533-position model. The record is from RNAcentral.